CCUCCCCCAUACCUUCGCAUAGCGAAGAGCCUCUGAACAAUGGGGUACGAAGUUUUUUUAUAGAAUUGAUAGUAAUGAUGAUUUUAGUAUUGAAAGUAUUAAAAAUAUUAGUUAUAUUAAUCUAUUAUUAUAAUCGUCAGCAUUUUUAGAUUGAAUAUUAAGGUGAAUGUGAAAUAAAUCAAAUAAUUUUAUAAAGUCAAGGUGAUGGAUAAUUAUUAAUUAGGGAUACUCUAAAAAAAAGAAGUUAAGGUUCAGGUUGAAAUGACUUCUGGGUUGUAUGCUUUUGAUUUCUUAAACUCUUGCACUAUUGGAGAAAAGCUAGCCCAUUUUGCAGUGUUUUUCUUGUUUUGCCUUGUGUACUUAAUAUAAAGAAGCACUUCUUCACACUCUUGCUGCAUUCCGAUUGUGGUCCCAUACUCCCAUGUGUGUUGAUUCGGUGAUUGUUACAAGAAACAAAUCAUACUUCCUUGAAAGGAGCAACAAAGUUUGCAUUUUCUUUGUACCUCGAAGCCUCAACUUUUGCCGAGCAACUUUAGAACAUGGUUCUUAAUAGAUUGAUACUUUGGUUGCAGUGCUAGAUACGGUUGACUUGAUGUAAACCUAUAUGGAACACUUAACACAACUUACACAAGCAUGAUUGCAGCCAUUAUCUGCAUCUGGGUUCUUAGCCUGGUGCUUGAGGAGAAGGCUGUGCCUUGAUGUCCAUAAAAUAUUCUUGAAGACGUCUUCAGCAUUUAAAGAGUGGUUAUUCAAGUAAUAAUUAUAUUAUUCUAUUAGAAAGCAAGCUUCAUCUCUCACAUUGGGAGAUCAUCUUUCAGCAUGCAUCACCAUGGCCUUGGGACCAGAAUACUCGGUAUCUUUUUUGUCUAAAGCCGUACCUAAUGCUUAAUAGUCACUGCAACGUAAUGCUGCUACACUAUGAAAAUCUGUUCAUUGGUGUAUUUCAAAAGUUAGUGACCAAAUGAUUUUGGCUUUUGUCUGCUUAAAGAUGAUACUGAUAAUACAACAGGAAAGAGGAUGAUAAACACUAGACAAAAAAAGCUGGAGAUUUCAUUCUCUACUUAAAGAUGUCAUUGGGCUAAUUGGGUCUCAUUUUCCUGCUUGCAUUGAUUUCAUCCCAAGGACAAGAAUGCAAGAGCUAUUUCUCUGGACUGUCAAAAAUCGUCUCAACUAAAGGAAGAUCAAAAGCGAAGGGAACAUGAAAAGAUCGAAGAAAUGCUCAGUACGAAAGAAAUUCAUCGUGAUUCCAAGCUGUGCCCUUAAUGUGACAUGGCAAUUUCUCGAACUGAAGGUUGUAACAAAAUGAAAUGUGGUAAUUGUGAACAAUACUUCUGUUACCGCUGCAACAAAGUAAUUGAUGCAUCAGAACCAUAAGUACAUUUCAGGUGCAGAUGGAUUUCGGGGAAAGAACUAAGGUUGAUGUGGUCGGGGGAAGGAGAUUAUUUGCUGAAUCUGAUGUCAUUGUUCUACAAAAUUACUAUUUAUAAAUGUUUUUUCCUUUUCUUCCUGUUGGCACUAAAAAUAAUUAGCCCAAGGAGUUGGUCUAUUGGCAUCGGCUAGCGGCUGAUUUAGCCGAUAACUAAUAAUCACCCAAUUUUUGUCAAA
Molecule: long non-coding RNA, 1605 nt
Organism: Glycine soja
Lineage: Eukaryota; Viridiplantae; Streptophyta; Magnoliopsida; Fabales; Fabaceae
Exons: 3
Source: RefSeq, a predicted model, not a curated record